CAGGUGCUAUGGGAGGAGCAGCUUCAUUCCACUACACCCUUACACCAUGAAGUUCUGUCUCACCUCACGAACACAGCAACACGACCAGACAACCAUGGACUGAACCCUCUGAAACCAUGAGGCAAAGUGAAUUUUUCCUCUUUAUGCCAGAUGGAAUUACAGUUUUCUUGAAUCAGAAUAACUCAAAGCAAUCAGCUCACUCCUCUCUCUGGCAGCCAGCUUUGUAAUCCCGGGUCACAUGUCACUUCUAAUCGUGGGCGUGAUGCUCGAGUUUUCCUUGGGCCUUAAUUUCACCCAUGUAAAUCCUCUCCUUCAGCAGCUGCAGAAUCGUGUCAGGGAAAGUAAUCUUAAGGCACACACUUCUGCAAGAGAGAUCAACUGAGCCUGACAUGAAGCCAUGCAACUGGCAGCGGUUCAAGAACAGGGAUUUGUCUUACUCACCUUGGUGGCCUUAUUGGUGAUCAUUGUAUCUGAACAAUUCUAGGAUCUCCUGAGAAAUGAUAGAUCUGGUACUUGAAGAAAGAUCUAGUUCACCAAAUAGUGCAUUAUAUAUCAUCUCCCAGACAGAGGUAGAGGGAC
RNAcentral lists this long non-coding RNA (579 nucleotides) under Heterocephalus glaber (naked mole-rat). RNAcentral's name for it is "lncRNA (ENSHGLG00100038173.1)". The record is from RNAcentral. Lineage: Eukaryota; Metazoa; Chordata; Mammalia; Rodentia; Bathyergidae.